Molecule: ribosomal RNA, 468 nt
Filed under: uncultured bacterium
Lineage: Bacteria
Description: partial 16S ribosomal RNA
Rfam family: Bacterial small subunit ribosomal RNA
Source: RNAcentral
GACGAACGCUGGCGGCGUGCUUAACACAUGCAAGUCGAACGGAAAGGCCCUGCUUUUGUGGGGUUCUCGAGUGGCGAACGGGUGAGUAACACGUGAGUAACCUGCCCUUGACUUUGGGAUAACUUCAGGAAACUGGGGCUAAUACCGGAUAGGAGCUCCUGCUGCAUGGUGGGGGUUGGAAAGUUUCGGCGGUUGGGGAUGGACUCGCGGCUUAUCAGCUUGUUGGUGGGGUAGUGGCUUACCAAGGCUUUGACGGGUAGCCGGCCUGAGAGGGUGACCGGCCACAUUGGGACUGAGAUACGGCCCAGACUCCUACGGGAGGCAGCAGUGGGGAAUAUUGCACAAUGGGCGGAAGCCUGAGGCAGAAACGCCGCGUGCGGGAUGACGGCCUUCGGGUUGUAAACCGCUUUCGCCUGUGACGAAGCGUGAGUGACGGUAAUGGGUAAAGAAGCACCGGCUAACUACGUG